CAGCAGCCGCGGUAACACGGAGGGUGCAAGCGUUAAUCGGAAUUACUGGGCGUAAAGCGUGCGUAGGCGGUUCGUUAAGUCUGUUGUGAAAGCCCCGGGCUCAACCUGGGAAUGGCAAUGGAUACUGGCGAGCUAGAGUGUGUCAGAGGAUGGUGGAAUUCCCGGUGUAGCGGUGAAAUGCGUAGAGAUCGGGAGGGACAUCAGUGGCGAAGGCGGCCAUCUGGGACAACACUGACGCUGAGGCACGAAAGCGUGGGGAGCAAGCAGGAUUAGAUACCCCAGUAGUCCCUGUCUCUUAUAC
RNAcentral lists this ribosomal RNA (301 nucleotides) under uncultured bacterium. Its description in RNAcentral is "partial 16S ribosomal RNA". It matches the Rfam family "Bacterial small subunit ribosomal RNA", at positions 509 to 807 of the family's 1533-position model. The record is from RNAcentral.